RNAcentral lists this ribosomal RNA (386 nucleotides) under Ichneumonidae sp. HD-058. RNAcentral's name for it is "partial 28S ribosomal RNA". The record is from RNAcentral. Lineage: Eukaryota; Metazoa; Arthropoda; Insecta; Hymenoptera; Ichneumonidae.
CGAAUGAGGAGAUCAUCGUCAGCUUAUUCAGUAUUAAUGCAGGCUAUGAUGUGAUAAUAGAAUCCUUGUGGUCACUAGAUUAUACUUGCUUGUAUUAUUUUUGCUGGGUAUGUCGGCGUGCACUUCUCCUCUAGUAGAACGUCGCAACCCGUUGGAUGUUUAUCUAUGGCUUGAAUGGUAGCCUUUGAUAUUUUUUAUAUUGAAGACCUUCGAUGUCCUGAUAAACUGUUUGACGGUAUACAUAUGGUAUUGAGCCGCAAUUAUUUGCGUUAGACUUGCCGCAAGUAUGACUUUAUUCUAGUAGUGCGGAUCUAAUGCCGUCGCUGGACAAAGUCUGCUGUUAGCUGUGUAAUGUCUUUAACUGGCUUAUUUACCGGUUAGCGAUG